Molecule: RNA transcript, 920 nt
Organism: Hibiscus syriacus
Lineage: Eukaryota; Viridiplantae; Streptophyta; Magnoliopsida; Malvales; Malvaceae
Gene name: cysteine proteinase inhibitor 6-like
Exons: 4
Source: RefSeq, a predicted model, not a curated record
CAAAAUAAUUUUCAAUUCUCACCCAAAUGCAAAACACCAGUUUUCUAAUACCCCUUUUGUUUUCGAUAGCGGUCACAAUCCUCUUCCUCAACAAUUUAUCCGUUGAAUCAGCUUUCUGCUCCGACUCAAUGGCGACAACCACCAAUUUGGGAGGAGUCUGCCCUUCCCAGGGAUCCCAAAACAGCGCCGAGCUGGAAAACCUCGCUCGCUUUGCCGUCGACGAGCACAACAAGAAAGGAAAUGCGAUGGUCGAGUUUGUGAGGCUCGUGAAAGCAAGCGAACAAGUGGUGGCUGGGACGCUUCACCAUUUGACGGUGGAGGCUAUGGACGCUGGCAAAAAGCUUUAUGAAGCCAAAGUUUGGGUUAAGCCUUGGAUGGACUUUAAAGAACUGCAGGAGUUCAAACAUGCUGGCGACGCUGAUAAUUGCCCUUCUUUCACCGCUUCGGACCUGGGUGCCAAGAAAGGUGUCCCUGGACCAAUGCUGCAAGCUGUGGCCACGGACGAUCCUGUAGUUCGGGAUGCGGCGAAUCAUGCUGUUAAGAGCAUACAACAGAGAUCCAAUUCCCUGCUGCCUUAUGAACUUAAAGAAAUCGUUCAUGCCAACGCCGAAGUAUUGGAAGAUUCUGCUAAACUCAACAUGCUUCUCAAGUUGAAGAGAGGAGACAAGGAAGAGAAGUUCAAGGUGGAGGUUCACCAUAAGAGCGAAGGGACUUACCAUCUGAGCCACAUGGAGCACGACCACUCUUGAAAGCUAAUGUUAUGGUAAAUCGUCAGAGUUUGAAACUAAAAAUUACGGUAUGACUAUAAAAAUAGUAUCAUGUGCUCACCUUUACUCCUCUGUCAAACCUAUGUUUGUAAGAAUGUAUAUCUUUGUAUGAAAGUCGCUAAUCUUCGGGUUAUGUAUCGACCUCUUGAUAUA